CGGGGGGGGCAAGCGUUGUUCGGAAUUACUGGGCGUAAGGGCGCGUAGGCGGCCUGCUAAGUCGGACGUGAAAUCCCCCGGCUCAACCGGGGAACUGCGUCCGAUACUGGUGGGCUCGAAUCCGGGAGAGGGAUGUGGAAUUCCAGGUGUAGCGGUGAAAUGCGUAGAUAUCUGGAGGAACACCGGUGGCGAAGGCGGCAUCCUGGACCGGCAUUGACGCUGAGGCGCGAAAGCCAGGGGAGCAAACGGGAUUAGAUACCCCGGUAGUCCUGGCCCUAAACGAUGAGUGCUUGGUGUGGCGGGUAUCGAUCCCUGCCGUGCCGAAGCUAACGCAUUAAGCACUCCGCCUGGGGAGUACGGUCGCAAGGCUG
RNAcentral lists this ribosomal RNA (371 nucleotides) under uncultured organism. RNAcentral's name for it is "bacterial SSU rRNA". It matches the Rfam family "Bacterial small subunit ribosomal RNA", at positions 526 to 896 of the family's 1533-position model. The record is from RNAcentral.